UAGUAACGGCGAGUGAAGAGGAAAGAGCUCAAAGUUGGAACCUGUUUGGCUUAGCUAAACCGGAUUGUAAACUGUAGAAGUGUUUUCCAGACACGCCUGGUAAAAAAGUCCUUUGGAACAGGGCAUCAUAGAGGGUGAGAAUCCCGUCAUUGGCCAGAGCUGUUGUCUUUUGUGAUACAUUUUCAAAGAGUCAGGUUGUUUGGGAAUGCAGCCUAAAUUGGGUGGUAAAUCUCACCUAAAGCUAAAUAUUUGCGAGAGACCGAUAGCGAACAAGUACCGUGAGGGAAAGAUGAAAAGAACUUUGAAAAGAGAGUUAAACAGUAUGUGAAAUUGUUAAAAGGGAACCGUUUGGAGCCAGACUGGCUUGAUCGUAAUCACUCUAGGCUUUGGCCUGGAUGCACUUGCGGUCUAUGCCGGCCAACGACAGUUUUGUUUGAGGGAAAAAAUUACAUUGAAUGUGGCCCCUCGGGGUGUUAUAGCUUUGUAAAAAAUACCUUGGACGGGACUGAGGAACGCAGCGAAUGCCUUUAGGCGAGAUUGCUGGGUGCUUGCGCUGAUACAUGCUAGAAUUUCUGCUUUGGGUGGUGCUAGUGUGUAAAGGAGUAACCCGCUUAGUAUAUUUUUUAUUCGCUUAGGUUGUUGGCUUAAUGACUCUAAAUGACCCGUCUUGAAACACGGACCAAGGAGUCCACCAUUAGUGCAAGUAUUUGGGUGACAAACCCAUAUGCGCAAGGAAACUGAUUGAUACGAAGGCGCAAGCUGGCAGUAUCACCCGGCGUUGACGUUUUAUACUGAACUGACCGAGGUAAAGCACUAAUGAUGGGACCCGAAAGAUGGUGAACUAUGCCUGAAUAGGGUGAAGCCGGAGGAAACUCCGGUGGAGGCUCGUAGCGAUUCUGACGUGCAAAUCGAUCGUCAAAUUUGGGUAUAGGGGCGAAAGACUAAUCGAC
This 950-nucleotide ribosomal RNA is filed under the name Mucor irregularis. RNAcentral's name for it is "eukaryotic LSU rRNA". It matches the Rfam family "Eukaryotic large subunit ribosomal RNA", at positions 81 to 940 of the family's 3401-position model. The record is from RNAcentral. Lineage: Eukaryota; Fungi; Mucoromycota; Mucoromycetes; Mucorales; Mucoraceae.